RNAcentral lists this ribosomal RNA (462 nucleotides) under uncultured bacterium. RNAcentral describes it as "bacterial SSU rRNA". It matches the Rfam family "Bacterial small subunit ribosomal RNA", at positions 340 to 789 of the family's 1533-position model. The record is from RNAcentral.
UACGGGAGGCAGCAGUGGGGAAUAUUGCACAAUGGGCGAAAGCCUGAUGCAGCUAUGCCGCGUGUAUGAAGAAGGCCUUAGGGUUGUAAAGUACUUUCAUCGGGGAGGAAAAAACAAAACUAAUAAUUUUAUUUCUUGACGUUACCCGAAAAAGAAGCACCGGCUAACUCCGUGCCAGCAGCCGCGGUAAUACGGAGGGUGCUAGCGUUAAUCAGAAUUACUGGGCGUAAAGAGCACGUAGGUGGUUUUUUUAAAGUCAGAUGUGAAAUCCCUGGGCUUUAACCUAGGAACUGCAUUUUGAAACUGAAAUACUAGAGUAUCGUAGAGGGAGGUAGAAUUCUAGGUGUAGCGGUGAAAUGCGUAGAUAUCUGGAGGAAUACCUGUGGCGAAAGCGGCCUCCUAAACGAAUACUGACACUGAGGGUGCGAAAGCGUGGGGAGCAAACAGGGAUUAGAUACCCGU